Molecule: ribosomal RNA, 253 nt
Filed under: uncultured bacterium
Lineage: Bacteria
Description: partial 16S ribosomal RNA
Rfam family: Bacterial small subunit ribosomal RNA
Source: RNAcentral
GACGAACCGAGCGAACGUUAUUCGGAAUCACUGGGCUUAAAGGGCGCGUAGGCGGGCAUUCAAGUCUGUGGUGAAAUCCGGCAGCUUAACUGUCGAACUGCCAUGGAUACUGGGUGUCUCGAGGGAGGUAGGGGCGUGCGGAACUAUUGGUGGAGCGGUGAAAUGCGUUGAUAUCAAUAGGAACUCCGGUGGCGAAGGCGGCACGCUGGACCUCUUCUGACGCUGAGGCGCGAAAGCUAGGGGAGCAAACGGG